GACGAACGCUGGCGGCGUGCUUAACACAUGCAAGUCGAACGGAAAGGCCCUGCUUUUGUGGGGUGCUCGAGUGGCGAACGGGUGAGUAACACGUGAGUAACCUGCCCUUGACUUUGGGAUAACUUCAGGAAACUGGGGCUAAUACCGGAUAGGAGCUCCUGCUGCAUGGUGGGGGUUGGAAAGUUUCGGCGGUUGGGGAUGGACUCGCGGCUUAUCAGCUUGUUGGUGGGGUAGUGGCUUACCAAGGCUUUGACGGGUAGCCGGCCUGAGAGGGUGACCGGCGACAUUGGGACUGAGAUACGGACCAGACUCGUACGGGAGGCAGCAGUGGGGAAUAUUGCACAAUGGGAGGAAGCCUGAUGCAGCAACGCCGCGUGCGGGAUGACGGCCUUCGGGUUGUAAACAGCUUUCGCCUGUGACGAAGCGUGAGUGACGGUAAUGGGUAAAGAAGCACCGGCUAACUACGUG
RNAcentral lists this ribosomal RNA (468 nucleotides) under uncultured bacterium. RNAcentral's name for it is "partial 16S ribosomal RNA". It matches the Rfam family "Bacterial small subunit ribosomal RNA", at positions 28 to 507 of the family's 1533-position model. The record is from RNAcentral.